UGGAAUGUAGCUCAGUGGUAGAGACCUUGCCUAGCAUGCAUGAGACCCUGGGUUCAAUUCCCAGCACCACAA
This 72-nucleotide transfer RNA is filed under the name Marmota marmota marmota (Alpine marmot). It matches the Rfam family "tRNA". Rfam says of the family: Transfer RNA (tRNA) molecules are approximately 80 nucleotides in length. Their secondary structure includes four short double-helical elements and three loops (D, anti-codon, and T loops). Further hydrogen bonds mediate the characteristic L-shaped molecular structure. tRNAs have two regions of fundamental functional importance: the anti-codon, which is responsible for specific mRNA codon recognition, and the 3' end, to which the tRNAs corresponding amino acid is attached (by aminoacyl-tRNA synthetases). tRNAs cope with the degeneracy of the genetic code in two manners: having more than one tRNA (with a specific anti-codon) for a particular amino acid; and 'wobble' base-pairing, i.e. permitting non-standard base-pairing at the 3rd anti-codon position. The record is from Rfam by way of RNAcentral. Lineage: Eukaryota; Metazoa; Chordata; Mammalia; Rodentia; Sciuridae. RNAcentral also lists the same sequence under 1 other name.